RNAcentral lists this ribosomal RNA (406 nucleotides) under uncultured bacterium. RNAcentral describes it as "bacterial SSU rRNA". It matches the Rfam family "Bacterial small subunit ribosomal RNA", at positions 223 to 621 of the family's 1533-position model. The record is from RNAcentral.
GGAGCGGCCGAUGUCUGAUUAGCUAGUUGGUGAGGUAAUGGCUCACCAAGGCAACGAUCAGUAGUUGGUCUGAGAGGACGACCAGCCACACUGGGACUGAGACACGGCCCAGACUCCUACGGGAGGCAGCAGUGGGGAAUUUUGGACAAUGGGCGCAAGCCUGAUCCAGCCAUGCCGCGUGAGUGAAGAAGGCCUUCGGGUUGUAAAGCUCUUUCAGUCGAGAAGAAAAGAUUGUGACUAAUAAUUGUAAUUCAUGACGGUAUCGACAGAAGAAGCACCGGCUAACUACGUGCCAGCAGCCGCGGUAAUACGUAGGGUGCGAGCGUUAAUCGGAAUUACUGGGCGUAAAGGGUGCGCAGGCGGUUUUGUAAGUCAGAUGUGAAAUCCCCGGGCUUAACCUGGGAAU